ACCUGGGUGGCUCAAUGGUGGAGCAUCUGCCUUCGGCCCAGGGCGUGAUCCUAGAGUUCUGGGAUCGAGUCCCACCUCGGGUU
Molecule: transfer RNA, 83 nt
Filed under: Canis lupus familiaris (dog)
Lineage: Eukaryota; Metazoa; Chordata; Mammalia; Carnivora; Canidae
Rfam family: tRNA
About the family: Transfer RNA (tRNA) molecules are approximately 80 nucleotides in length. Their secondary structure includes four short double-helical elements and three loops (D, anti-codon, and T loops).
Source: Rfam by way of RNAcentral